GACGAACGCUGGCGGCGUGCUUAACACAUGCAAGUCGAACGGUAAGGCCCUUCGGGGUACACGAGUGGCGAACGGGUGAGUAACACGUGGGUGAUCUACCCUGCACUUCGGGAUAAGCCUGGGAAACUGGGUCUAAUACCGGAUAGGACCACUGCCUGCAUGGGUGGUGGGGGAAAGCUUUUGCGGUGUGGGAUGGGCCCGCGGCCUAUCAGCUUGUUGGUGGGGUGAUGGCCUACCAAGGCGACGACGGGUAGCCGGCCUGAGAGGGUGACCGGCCACACUGGGACUGAGAUACGGCCCAGACUCCUACGGGAGGCAGCAGUGGGGAAUAUUGCGCAAUGGGCGAAAGCCUGACGCAGCGACGCCGCGUGUGGGAUGACGGCCUUCGGGUUGUAAACCACUGUCGGGAGGGACGAAUGCCCCGCAAGGGGAGUGACGGUACCUCCAAAGGAAGCACCGGCUAACUCCGUGCCAGCCGCCGCGGUAA
RNAcentral lists this ribosomal RNA (487 nucleotides) under uncultured bacterium. RNAcentral describes it as "partial 16S ribosomal RNA". It matches the Rfam family "Bacterial small subunit ribosomal RNA", at positions 28 to 523 of the family's 1533-position model. The record is from RNAcentral.